Peromyscus leucopus (white-footed mouse) is the source of this 611-nucleotide long non-coding RNA. RefSeq lists it as uncharacterized. The record is from RefSeq and is a predicted model, not a curated record. The transcript is spliced from 4 exons. Lineage: Eukaryota; Metazoa; Chordata; Mammalia; Rodentia; Cricetidae.
AGAAAACCCAGAGCAGAAAAGGGGCUUCUUGCCAGCUGAUGCCUUAGACUUAGGAUUACAGAUAGGCUGAGUCUCCAAAGGUGUGUUCUGUCCACUCUAACAGAAGCACCGUGUACUAGUGGGGAUAACAUCUGAAUGUGCUAAGUCAGGCCAGAGCGAGACAUCAGGAAGACAGCCUCAGUGCCCAGCAAGCAUUUGGAAGGCAGAGGCAACUGGAUCUCUAUAAGUUCAAGGCCAGACUUCUCUACAUGAAUCCUUGUGUUAGCCAUCCUGAAGACGGUCCUUACCAUUCUGAGACACAGAAUACCACACAGCUUGUCUGAUCUUCAGACACUGAUUAUCCAGGGACACCAAAAAGGACAGAAGCCAACUAAAUACUGUGCACAUGAAGUACUUCUAUUAAAGAGCUAGAGAGAAAUACCACCUCUCAUCAGGCUCUUCCUAAAGGAAGUGGAAUUUCCUUGCACUGUUAACAUUCUUCUCAAAAAAAAAAAAAGACUGAGGCUGAGGGUAUAGCUCAGUUGGUAGACUGCUUGCCUACCAUGCACAACCCCCCAUGUCUGACCUCCAGCACUGUAUAAACAAUGUGGCAGUUCAUGCCUAAAAUCAUA